UGGGGAAUUUUGCACAAUGGGGGAAACCCUGAUGCAGCGACGCCGCGUGAUUUAGAAGGCCUUCGGGUUGUAAAAAUCUUUUCUAUGGGAAGAAAAUGACAGUACUAUAGGAAUAAGGACCGGCUAAUUACGUGCCAGCAGCCGCGGUAAUACGUAAGGUCCGAGCGUUGUGCGGAAUCAUUGGGCGUAAAGGGUACGUAGGCGGGUAAGCAAGUUAGAAGUGAAAUCCUAUAGCUCAACUAUAGUAAGCUUUUAAAACUGCUCAUCUUGAGGUAUGGAAGGGAAAGUGGAAUUCCUAGUGUAGCGGUGAAAUGCGCAGAUAUUAGGAGGAAUACCGGUGGCGAAGGCGACUUUCUGGCCAUAACCUGACGCUGAGGUACGAAAGCGUGGGUAGCAAACAGG
This 402-nucleotide ribosomal RNA is filed under the name bacterium. RNAcentral describes it as "partial 16S ribosomal RNA". It matches the Rfam family "Bacterial small subunit ribosomal RNA", at positions 355 to 776 of the family's 1533-position model. The record is from RNAcentral.